GGAGAAGUGGCAGAGCGGUUGAAUGCACCGGUCUUGAAAACCGGCAGAGGCGCGAGCCUCUCGAGGGUUCGAAUCCCUCCUUCUCCGCCA
Molecule: transfer RNA, 90 nt
Filed under: Thioalkalivibrio sp.
Lineage: Bacteria; Pseudomonadati; Pseudomonadota; Gammaproteobacteria; Chromatiales; Ectothiorhodospiraceae
Description: tRNA-Ser
Rfam family: tRNA
About the family: Transfer RNA (tRNA) molecules are approximately 80 nucleotides in length. Their secondary structure includes four short double-helical elements and three loops (D, anti-codon, and T loops). Further hydrogen bonds mediate the characteristic L-shaped molecular structure. tRNAs have two regions of fundamental functional importance: the anti-codon, which is responsible for specific mRNA codon recognition, and the 3' end, to which the tRNAs corresponding amino acid is attached (by aminoacyl-tRNA synthetases). tRNAs cope with the degeneracy of the genetic code in two manners: having more than one tRNA (with a specific anti-codon) for a particular amino acid; and 'wobble' base-pairing, i.e. permitting non-standard base-pairing at the 3rd anti-codon position.
Source: RNAcentral